Molecule: ribosomal RNA, 252 nt
Filed under: uncultured bacterium
Lineage: Bacteria
Description: partial 16S ribosomal RNA
Rfam family: Bacterial small subunit ribosomal RNA
Source: RNAcentral
UACGUAGGGGGCAAGCGUUGUCCGGAAUUAUUGGGCGUAAAGCGCGCGCAGGCGGUUUUUUAAGUCUGGUGUAUAAGGCCUAGGCUCAACCUAGGUGCGCACUGGAAACUGGGGAACUGGAGUGCAGAAGAGGAGAGUGGAAUUCCACGUGUAGCGGUGAAAUGCGUAGAGAUGUGGAGGAACACCAGUGGCGAAGGCGACUCUCUGGACUGUAACUGACGCUGAGGCGCGAAAGCGUGGGGAGCAAACGGG